UUUUUUGUUUUUUUUUUGUAUUAGCUACUCUUGAGUUACGAUCUAUUAAAGCUCUACAACCAUUAUGGUCUCGCUAACCCCAUCAUCCUUGGCUCACCAUGCAAGGUAAGAUAAAUCUCACUCUAUUGGCAGUACUCACACGUACAAAAAAACGCCUUUGAUGCUAUGCAACCAUGAGUGCAAGCGGGUCCACCCAUUGACCCAUCUUUCUCUGCCUUAUCCCUUUCGCGCGGUGAUGCGAGGCACACCUCUCCUCCCCUCCCCACCUCGAAUCCACACCUUGCCGAUGAUGACCACCGCCCGCCCUGCGGGAUUCUCUUCGCGCGCGGCCGACUACUGGGCAGGCAUGCACCACUAUAGUAAGGGGCUCUUCGGACGCUCGUGGGAAGAGAAAAAGCAUGCGCUGCUGCAAACAAGGUCGGCGUUUGCGCAAUCCCCGCUCCUUGUGGCUGUGACAGGCGCUAUGGCGCCGCGGCCAUUGUUUUACCACCGGCAAGUCAGCAGCUGCAACGACCAUGGGGUGCUGCGAUCAGCACCAGCCGGUGCUGAGACGACAUCAUGAAGUGUUGCAGCUGGUGACAAAGUAUAUUGCAACCGGCGCACUGCAAAGCUGCAACCGGCGCAUAGCAAAGCUGCAACCGCCGCACCGGGUGCUACGACUGGCGUGCGAUGUGUUGGUACCAUCAUGCAGCGGUGCUGGGACCGGCACAUGGCUGAGAUGGACGAGUGCUCUGCCGUGCCGGGACCAACGAUCUGGCCAGACGCGGGGUGGAUGGGAUGUUGGGACCGUCCCCCGGCGAUGAUGCGACCGAGAAACAAGGAUGUUGGGCCGUCCUGUUAGGAUGCUACGACCGCCACCCGGCGAUGCUGCCAUUGGCGAAUGAGGAUGCUGGGACCGGCCUACGGAUAUGCUGGGACCGCUACCCGACGAUGUUGUGGCCAGCGGUGUUGCGGGUUGUGCGAAUGUUAGGUACCGGAUCGAUCUAUCGCUAGCUCACAAUAUAGUUCACGAAUUCGAAUUACAAUCCAGCCUUGCUGUUCGUGGGGAAGAAGAAGGAAGGUAGGUGGGGAAGGGAGAGAAGCCGCCGUCCAUCCUGAUCCUUCUGGAUAACUGUCUCUUUGUCGUCUAUGGCCUUAAGUAGCGAGCCGCCAGGCGAGCGGGCUCAGCGGGCCCAUUCUGGCCCAACAAAUCUUCGGUUGGGCUGCACGAUCCUCUUGGGCCUGCUGUCGACGCGCCUUGGGGUGAAGCCGAUGAUCGCCUUGGUGGUACGUGCGCUGACAUCUCCUCCUCCUUGAGAGUUGGCUUGCCCCCAAGCCAGUAUUGCCGGAAAAUGCUCGCGGAUGGACUUGGCGUCUUCCCAGGUUGCGUCAAGGAUGGACGGGUCGGACCAGCGCACGAGCACCUGUUCGCGCUGCCCUUGGGGAGUGUUGCGCCAGCGCGUGUCGAUGAUCUCGGCUGGUGACAGAGGUUCCUCCGGCGGAACCGGCAGCUUGUCUUCCACGGUGGUGUUGUUGGAGCGAGCGCGUCGUAGCUGGGAAACGUGGAAGACGGGGUGUACCUUGGCGCCGGCGGGAAGCUCGAGUUUGUAGGCGAUGGGGUUGACGACCCGGAUGAUCUUGUAUGGCCCAAAGUAGCGGAAGGAGAGCUUGUGGUUGGUGCGACGCGCCACCGUCGUCUGAACAUAGGGUUGGAGCUUGACGAAGACGGUGUCCCCCACGACAAAGGAGCGGUCCGUGCGUUUCUUGUCGGCCUGGGCCUUCAUGAUGUUGCGGGCGCGGUGGAGGUGCUCGGCCAGGACUUGUUGCAUAUGCUUGCGCUCUUCGAGCCAGUCCUUGAGAGAGGGAAUGGAGCAAGUAGAGGCCGCCUCGAUGCCCCAAUGGCGGGGUUCAUGUCCAUACAGAGCAACAAAAGGUGAGGUGCCCAGAGAUGAAUGAAAGGAGGAGUUGUACCAGAAUUCCGCGGGAGCGAGGUAUUGAUGCCACUUGUUUGGACACGCAUGCGUGAAGCACCGUAAGUAGAUCUCCAGGCACUGGUUGACUCGCUCUAACUGCCCGUUGAUACGUCUCCAAUGUAUCUAUAAUUUUUGAUUGUUCCAUGCUAUUAUAUUACCCCUUUUGGAUGUUUAUGGGCUUUAUUUUACACAUUUAUAUCAUUUUUGGGACUAACCUACUAACCGGAGACCCAGCCCAUAUUGUUGUUUUUUUUGCCUAUUUCAGUAUUUCGAAGAAAAGGAAUAUCAAACGGAGUCCAAACGGAAUGAAACCUUCGGGAGCGUGAUUUUUGGAACGAACGUGAUCCGGAGAGCUUGGAGUGCAAGUCAAGAAGCAGCCGAGGACUCCACGAGAUAGGAGGCCGCGCCCCCCUGUAGGGUGCGCCCCCUGUCUCGUGGACCCCUCGGGCGGCCACCGACGUACUUCUUCCUCCUAUAUAUACCUACGUACCCCAAAAACAUCCAGGGGCACCACGAAACACAAUUUCCACCACCGUAACCUUCUGUAUCCGCGAGAUCCCAUCUUGGAGCCUUCGCCGGCACUCUGCCGGAGGGGGAAUCGACCACGGAGGGCUUCUACAUCAACAUCUUUGCCCCUCCGAUGAGUUGUGAGUAGUUUACCACAGACCUACGGGUACAUAGUUAUUAGCUAGAUGGCUUCUUCUCUCUUUUUGGAUCUCAAUACAAUGUUCUCCCCCUCUCUUGUGGAGAUCUGUUCGAUGUAAACUUUUUUUGCGGUGUGUUUGUCGAGAUCCGAUGAAUUGUGGGUUUAUGAUCAAGUUUAUCUAUGAAUAAUAUUUGAAUCUUCUCUGAAUUCUUUUAUGUAUGAUUGAGUUAUCUUUGCAAGUCUCUUCAAAUUAUCAGUUUGGUUUGGCCUACUAGAUUGGUCUUUCUUGCCAUGGGAGAAGUGCUUAGCUUUUGGGUUCAAUCUUGUGGUGUCCUUACCCAGUGACAGAAAGGGUUGCAAGGCACGUAUUGUAUUGUUGCCAUCGAGGAUAACAAGAUGGGGUUUAUAUCAUAUUGCUUGAGUUUAUCCCUCUACAUCAUGUCAUCUUGCUUAAUGCGUUACUUUGUUCUUGUGAACUUAAUACUCUAGAUGCAGGCAGGAGUCGGUCGAUGUGUGAAGUAAUAGUAGUAGAUGCAGGCAGGAGUCGGUCUACUUGUUAUGGACGUGAUGCCUAUAUACAUGAUCAUGCCUAGAUAAUCUCAUAACUAUGCGCUUUUCUAUCAAUUGCUCGACAGUAAUUUGUUCACCCACCGUAAUACUUAUGCUAUCUUGAGAGAAGCCUCUAGUGAAACCUAUGGCCCCCGGGUCUAUCUCUUAUCGUAUUUGCUUUCAAUCUACUUUUAUUUGCAUCUUUACUUUUUGCAUCUAUAUUAUAAAAUACCAAAAAUAUAUUUAUCUUAUCAUACUAUCUUUAUUAGAUCUCACUUUCGCAAGUGGCCGUGAAGGGAUUAACAACCCCUUUAUUGUGUUGGUUGCGAGUUCUCAGUUUGUUUGUGUAGGUGCGUGGGAAUUUUGAGGAGCCUCCUACUGGAUUGAUACCUUUGUUCUCAAAACUGAGGGAACUACUUACGCUACACUUGCUGCAUCACCCUCUCCUCUUCGAGGAAAACCAACGCAAGCUCAAGAUGUAGCAAGAAGGAUUUCUGGCGCCGUUGCCGGGGAGGUCUUCGCUCAAGUCAAGACAUACCAAGUACCCAUCACAAACUCUUCUCCCUCGCAUUUACAUUAUUUGCCAUUUGCCUCUCAUUUUCCUCUCCCCCACUUCACCCUUGCCGUUUUAUUCGCCCUCUCUUUCCCAAAUCUCCUCCUCUCUUUUCGCUUGCCUUUUUUUUGCUCGUGUGUUAGUUCUUUUACAUUGUCGUUAUGGCUAGUCCUCCUAUCCUUGUUAUCACUCCCGAACAUGAAGUUCUUAAUUUUAAGCAAAGGGAGGGAAAAAAUUUAAAAGAUGCUUGGCAUAGAAUUUGCAAUGCUCAAUGUAAAUCUUCUAGGAAGCUUUCCACUUCCGUUCUUCUCCGCAAUUUUUAUGUAGGCAUUACUCCUUGGAAUAGAUGUGUUCUUGAUACUGUUGCCGGAGGUGAUUUCUUGAGUAGCCAUAUGUUUGAUGCUUAUAAUGCUAUGUUAUAUUUAUUUGGCCGACCACCUCUUUUGGUCAAUGGAACUGCUUUAACUUUGGAACACGUUAUGCAAUGGCUUGAGAUUAUUGAAAAUAAAAUUGACACCGUUGUGUUGAUUUAAAAUUUGGAUAAAAAGAUUCAUAAUCACAUUACCCAAUUUGGAUCUAGGGUUGGAGUUACUUUAAAAAUCUUAAAGAAAAAGAACCUAUAGUCAAUGAAAAAAUAGAUCUAGACUCCGCUAGAAUCGGUAAACUUGAGGAUAUCAUUACAAACUUAGGUUCCGCAUUUCCUCCCAUGAAAGAGACUCCAAAACCCUCUACUAAAACUACCAAUUUUAUUUAUGUUCCUAAAAAUAAGGGUGAAUCUUCUAGUAAGGGAGACGCGGAUCUCAAAUCCAUAAGUGUUUAUCCCAAUUGUCUCUCUAUCAUUAAGGAACCUUUUGUUACAAACGAAUUUCUUGAAUUUUUGCCUAAAGGUUUAAUCAUUGCUAAAAAGGGAGAAAUCCUAAAGAUUGUAAGUGCUCUAUUGAGGAAUUUAGUGCCAAAGAUGGCACUCGUUAGAUCUAUCUUUGCUUUUUAUGCCUAGCUAGGGUCGUUAAACGAUACCGCUAGUUGGGAGGCAACCCAAUUUUCUUUAUGUUUUUUGUUUUGCUCCUGUUUAGUAAUAAAUCUUGCAUCUACCUUAUGUUUAGAUGUGUUUUUAUCUUUUAUUUAGUGUUUGUGCCAAGUAGAACCUAUAGGAUAACCUACGAUGAUAGUUGAUUUGAUUAUGCUGAAAAACAGAAACUUUGCACGCACGAAUAUAAUUUUGUUAAAUCACAGUAACGUGAUUUUGCGUUGAUUCUUUUUUAUGAUGUUCAAUAAAGAAAUUUUCCAGGACUUCCUAUUUUGGUAGGACUUUUAGAGUUCCAGAAGUUUGCGUUAGUUACAGAUUGCUACAGACUGUUCUGUUUUUAACAGAUUCUGUUUUUCGUGUGUUGUUUGCUUAUUUCAAUGCAUCUAUGGCUAGUAAAUUAGUUUAUAAACCAUAAGGAAGUUGGAAUACAUUAGGUUUAACACCAAAAUAAAUAAAGAAUGAGUUCAUUGCAGUACCUUAUGUGGUGGUUUUGUUUUCUUUCACUAGCGGAGCUUAUAAGAUUUCCUGUUGAGUUUUGUGUUGUGAAGUUUUCAAGUUUUGGGUAAAGCUUUUAUGGACUAUGGAAUAAGGAGUGGCAAGAGUCUAAGCUUGGGGAUGCCCAAGGCACCCCAAGAUAUUCAAGAAUAGCCAAAAGCCUAAGCUUGGGGAUGCCCCGGGAAGGCAUCCCCUCUUUCAUCUUCGUUCAUUGGUAACUUUACUUGGAGCUAUUUUUUAUUCGCCACAUGAUAUGUGUUUUGCUUGGAGCAUCGUGUAUUAUAUUAGUCUUUGCUUUUCAUUUUACCACAAUUAUCCUUGCUGUACACACCUUUUGGGAGAAGCCUAUUUGAUUAGAAUUUGCUAGAAUACUCUAUGUGCUUCACUUAUAUCUUUUGAGCUUGAUAGUUUUUUGCUCUAGUGCUUCACUUAUAUCUUUUAGAGCACGGUGGUGUCUUAAUUUUGAACAAAUUGCUAGUCUCUCAUGCUUCACUUAUAUUAUUUUGAGAGUCUUUUAGACAGCAUGGUUUUAGCUAUGAUCAUAAAGUUGGUCCUAGAAUGAUGAGCAUCCAAGUUGGGUAUAAUAAAAACUAUCAUAGAAAGUGAAUUGGAUGUUAUGAUCAAUUUGAUGCUUGAUAAUUGUUUUGAGAUAUGGAGAUAGUAAUAUUAAAGUUAUGCUAGUUGGGUCAUUAUGAAUUUAAAGAAUACUUGUGUUGAAGUUUGUGAUUCCCGUAGCAUGCACGUAUGGUGAACCGCUUUGUGAUGAAGUUGGAGCACAAUUUUAUUUAUUGAUUGUCUUCCUUAUGAGUGGCGGUCGGGGACGAGCGAUGGUCUUUUCCUACCAAUUUAUCCCCCUAGUAGCAUGCGCGUAGUGCUUUGGUUUUUGAUGACUUCUAAAUUUUUGCAAUAAGUACAUGAGUUCUUUUGAGUAAUGUUGAGUCCAUGGAUUAUACACACCCUUUCACCCUUCCACCAUUGCUAGCCUCUCUUGUACCGUGCAACUUUCACCGGUACCAUACACCCACCAUACUCCUUCCUCAAAAUAGCCACCAUACCUACCUAUUAUGGCAUUUCCAUAGCCAUUCCGAGAUAUAUUGCCAUGCAAUAUUCCACCGUUCCGUUCAUAUGACACGCAUUACUUUUGUCAUAUUGCUCUUUGCAUGAUCAUGUAGUUGACAUUGUAUUUGUGGCAAGGCCACCUUCAUAAUUUUCAUACAUGUCACUCUUGAUUCAUUGCAUAUCCCGAUACACCGCCGGAGGCAUUCAUAUAGAGUCAUAUCUUGUUCUAGCUUUGAGUUGUAAAUCCAUAAAAGUGUGAUAAUUUUCAUUAUUAGAUCAUUGUCCUAGUGAGGAAAGGAUGAUGAAGACUAUGAUUCCCCCACAAGUUGGGAUAAGACUUCGGACUUUACAAAAAGAAAAAAAAGAAGAAGAAAAAAAGAGAAAGGCCAAAAAGAAAAAAAGGCCAAAGAAAAAAGGAAAAAGGAAAGAAAAAUAAAAUGAGAGAAAAAGAGAGAAGGGACAAUGCUACUAUCUCUUUUUCCACACUUGUGCUUCAAAGUAGCACCAUGAUCUUCAUAAUAGAGAGUCUCAUAUGUUGUCACUUUCAUAUACUGGUGGGAAUUUUUCAUUAUAGAACUUGGCUUGUAUAUUCCAAUGAUGGGCUUCCUCAAAGUGCCCUAGGUCUUCGUGAGCAAGCGACUUGGAUGCACACCCACUUAGUUUCUUUUGUUGAGCUUUCAUAUAUUUAUAGCUCUAGUGCAUCUGUUGCAUGGCAAUCCCUACUCACUCACAUAGAUAUCUAUUAAUGGGCAUCUCCAUAGCCCGUUGAUACGCCUAGUUGAUGUGAGACUAUCUUCUUCUUUUUUGUCCUCUCCACAACCACCAUUUUAUUCCACAUAUAGUGUUAUGUCCAUGGCUCGCGCUCAUGUAUUGCGUGAAAGUUGAAAAAAUUUGAGAUUAUUAAAGUAUGAAACAAUUGCUUGGCUUCUCAUAGGGGUUGUGCAUGAUUAAAUACUUUGUGUGAUGAAGAUAGAGCAACAGCCAGACUAUAUGAUUUUGUAGGGAUAACUUUCCUUAGCCAUAUUAUUUUGAGAAGACAUGAUUACUUUGAUUAGUAUGCUUGAAGUAUUACUAUUUAUUAUGUCAAUAUGAGCUUUUAUUUUGUAUUCAUUUGGAUCUGAACAUUCAUGCCACAAUAAAGAAAAUUACAUUAUGAAUUAUGCUAGGUAGCAUUCCACAUCAAAAAUUCUCUUUUUAUCAUUUACCUACUCGAAGACGAGCAGGAAGUAAGCUUGGGGAUGCUUGAUACGUCUCCAACGUAUCUAUAAUUUUUGAUUGCUCCAUGCUAUUAUAUUACCCCUUUUGGAUGUUCAUGGGCUUUAUUUUACACAUUUAUAUCAUUUUGGGACUAACCUACUAAUCGGAGGCCCAGCCCAUAUUGCUGUUUUUUUUGCCUAUUUCAGUAUUUCGAAGAAAAGGAAUAUCAAACGGAGUCCAAACGGAAUGAAACCUUCGGGAGCGUGAUUUUUGGAACGAACGUGAUCGGGAGAGCUUGCAGUGCAAGUCAAGAAGCAGCUGAGGGCUCCACAAGAUAGGAGGCCGCCCCCCCCCUAUAGGGCGCGCCUCCCUGUCUUGUGGGCCCCUCGGGCGGCCACCGCCGUACUUCUUCCUCCUAUAUAUACCUACGUACCCCAAAAACAUCCAGGGGCACCACGAAACACAAUUUCCACCACCGUAACCUUCUGUAUCCGCGAGAUCCCAUCUUGGAGCCUUCGCCGGCACUCUGUCGGAGGGGGAAUCGACCACGGAGGGCUUCUACAUCAACAUCUUUGCCCCUUCGAUGAGUUGUGAGUAGUUUACCACAGACCUACGGGUACAUAGUUAUUAGCUAGAUGGCUUCUUCUCUCUUUUUGGAUCUCAAUACAAUGUUCUCCCCCUCUCUUGUGGAGAUCUGUUCGAUGUAAACUUUUUUUGCGGUGUGUUUGUCGAGAUUCGAUGAAUUGUGGGUUUAUGAUCAAGUUUAUCUAUGAAUAAUAUUUGAAUCUUCUCUGAAUUCUUUUAUGUAUGAUUGAGUUAUCUUUGCAAAUCUCUUCGAAUUAUCAGUUUGGUUUGGCCUACUAGAUUGGUCUUUCUUGCCAUGGGAGAAGUGCUUAGCUUUGGGUUCAAUCUUGCGGUGUCCUUACCCAGUGACAGAAAGGGUUGCAAGGCACGUAUUGUAUUGUUGCCAUCGAGGAUAACAAGAUGGGGUUUAUAUCAUAUUGCUUGAGUUUAUCCCUCUACAUCAUGUCAUCUUGCUUAAUGCGUUACUUUGUUCUUGUGAACUUAAUACUCUAGAUGCAGGCAGGAGUCGGUCGAUGUGUGGAGUAAUAGUAGUAGAUGCAAGCAGGAGUCGGUCUACUUGUUAUGGACGUGAUGCCUAUAUACAUGAUCAUGCCUAGAUAAUCUCAUAACUAUGCGCUUUUCUAUCAAUUGCUCGACAGUAAUUUGUUCACCCACCGUAAUACUUAUGCUAUCUUGAGAGAAGCCUCUAGUGAAACUUAUGGCCCCCGGGUCUAUCUCUUAUCGUAUUUGCUUUCAAUCUACUUUUAUUUGCAUCUUUACUUUUUGCAUCUAUAUUAUAAAAUACCAAAAAUAUAUUUAUCUUAUCAUACUAUCUUUAUUAGAUCUCACUUUCGCAAGUGGCCGUGAAGGGAUUGACAACCCCUUUAUUGGUUGGUUGCGAGUUCUCAGUUUGUUUGUGUAGGUGUGUGGGAAUUUUGAGGAGCCUCCUACUGGAUUGAUACCUUUGUUCUCAAAACUGAGGGAACUACUUACGCUACACUUGCUGCAUCACCCUCUCCUCUUCGAGGAAAACCAACGCAAGCUCAAGACGUAGCACCCGUCAGUCUGGGGGUGGUACAGCGUGCUCAUGUUGAGCUCGGACCCGAUGAUCUUGAACAGUUCUUGCCAGAAUUUGCUCGUGAAUACUGGGUCUCUGUCCAAAACGAUCGCCUCUAGGAGUCCAUGGAGCUUGUAUAUGUUCUCCAGGUAGGCGUGUGCGACCUUGGCCGUCGUGAAUGGGUGGCUCAGAGAGAGGAAGUGGCUGUAGCGGGUGAAUUUAUCGACGACGACGAGGAUGCAGUUGUACUUGCCUGAAGGAGGAAGGUCAUCGAUGAAAUCCAUGGUGACCACCUUCCAGGCGCGAUCUGGCACCGGAAGUGGCUCGAGCAGACCUGGGUAGCGAACGCGCUCGGGUUUAACUUGUUGGCAGACAGAGCGGGAUUGGACGUACUGACGGGUGUGUUCCUUCAUCUUGGGCCAGGCAAACAGGCGACGCAGGCGGCGAUAGGUGACUGGCACACCGGAGUGGCCGCCCAUGGUGCUGUCAUGAAAUGCACGGAGCAUCCGUUGCUGCAGGGCGGGGGAACCACCCAGCCAGAGCCGAUCGCGGAAGUAGAGUAGUCCAUCACGCCUGGAGAAACGUCCUUUCGGGUCUGGCCGCUUGGAAAAAUCCUCCAAAAUCUUCUGAACUUGAGGGUUUGCGCUGUAGCUUGCUACGAUGUCGUCCAACCAAGCUGGGGUGCAGACUGACACAGCCGUCACGGACUCUUCUGGGGUGCAGCGCGAGAGCGCAUCAGCAGUAGUGUUUGAAGAUCCGGGGCGGUAGCAGAUUUUGUAGCGCAUCCCGAGUAGCUUGGUGAACGCCUUCUGCUGCCACAGGAUGGACAGAUGUUGAUCAUCAAGAUGUACGAGACUCCUCUGAUCUGUACGGAUGAUGAAUUCGUCAUUGUGCAGGUAAGGGCGCCAUUGCUCAACGGCCAUGAGAAUGGCCAUGCAUUCUUUUUCAUAAGUGGAGAGGCCACGGUUCUUGGGGCCGAGUGGCUUGCUCAUGUAGGCGAUCGGGUGCCCAUCUUGCUGAAGGACAGCUCCAACGCCAUAAGCGCAUGCAUCGGUGCCAAUCACGAAUUUCUUACUGAAAUCCGGAAGUUGCAGCACAUGUGCAGAUGUGAGCUUCAGUUUCAGAGCAUUGAAUGCAUGUUGUGUGUCGCUUGACCAGACAAACUGGUGGUUCUUCUUGAGCAGGGUGAACAGCGGUCUUGCGAUGAUCCCAAAGUGUUGUACAAACUUCCAAUAAUAUCCAGCAAGGCCGAGGAAGCUGUGCACAUCUUUGGCGCACUGAGGGACAGGCCACUGUUGGGUCGUCUGGACUUUGCUGGGAUCUUUAGAGACGCCACGUUCGUCGAUUACAUGGCCCAAGUAGGCGAUCUGACGCUGCGCGAAGGAGCACUUGGAUUGCUUGACUUGUUAGUGGUCGUCUCUAAGCAGCUGGAGCACGCGCGUGAUGUGUUGGAUGUGCUCGGACAAGGUUUGGCUGAAGAUGAGGAUGUCAUCGAAGAAUGAGAUGACACAUUUACGCAUGACUGGGCGCAGAGUGGUGUGCAUGCCUCCAUUGAAGGCCGGGCCUCCCGCUACUCCGAAAGGCAUGACACGGUAUUCCCAGUACCCGGAGUGCAUCUGAAAUGUCGUUUUGUACUCUUCGCCUUCUUCCAUUCUUAUCUGAUGAAAUCCGGCACGCAGGUCGAGCUUCGAGAACCAUUUUGCACUGGCCAGUUCGUCAAGCAGUUCGUCGAUGAUUGGUACUGGAAACUUGGCGACCACAGUCAUGGAGUUGAGACGGCGGUAAUCAACGCACAAGCGCCAGGUGCCGUCCUUCUUCUUGACUAGUAGGCCUGGGGAUGAGAAGGGGCUGGAGCUUUUCUGAAUAAUCCCUGCAUCGAGCAUUUCUUGAACCUGGUGUUCGAUCUCUGUCUUCAGUUCAGGUUGGUAUUUGUACGGUCUGGAGUUGACAGGUUGUGCGCCGGCCAUCAGGGGAAUGCGGUGAUCACAAUCGGGGUGAGGAGGCAGGGUCCGUGGGUCCUUGAAGACAUCGGCGAACUGUUCCAGUAGGCGCAAGAUCUCGACAGGGAUCGGCGAAUCUAUAGUACUGUUGCCAUCAAGAGCGCUGAGGUGCACGAUGUGCGCCAUUGAUCCUUGCUUGCAAGCCUUAAGGAGUUCCGGUGCAGAUAUCACUGAGCAUUGAGUUUGAUCUGAAGCAGUGGCAGAUAGUGCCAAUUGACCGGCUGGAGUUGUAACAAGAAUUGCUCGAUCCAGUUGAUGUUCAUAGGGCUAUGCUGCCUUAACCAGUCCAUCCCGAGAAUUGCAUCAUACGAGCCCAGUUUGAGGAUCUUGAAAUCUGUCCUGAAGUCGUGCCCCUGGGUUGUCCACGGACACGCCGGAAUGUAGGUGGUGCAAGGGAUGGUGGUGCCGUUGGCGACGCGCACGCGGCAUGGGUGAGGCAGUGGCUUGGCUCUAGAGAGUUUCGCUGCCAGAGAGCUGUCCACGAAGGACGUAGAGCUACCGGAGUCGAUGAGCAGUAGGAUCUCGUGCCCUUGGAGCCAGGCGUGCAGCUGCAACACCCCUGGAUCUGACGAGCCAUCUUCAGCCUGACGGUAUAGUGUACAGAGGUUCUCCUCGUCAAAUAUCGGUGAUGUUGGUGGCGAUUCUGACUACACGUUGUCUUGGGGAAACAUGGCGAGCAGCUCCUCCACGAUGUGCAUUUGCACCAUGGGCGGACAGGUGUGUUCCUUGCCCCACUUUUCGCCGCACUUGAAGCAGAGUCCCUUCGCGCGGAGAAAUGCGCGAAGGGCGGCGACCUUGCUGGCUUCAGGUGUCGUGUGGGCUGCUUCAGUUCCGCAGCGAUCUUCAGAGAUCGAAGUUGGUGUAGCAGGUCGGCUAAAGAAGGACGGUGUCGUCGAUCGCCCCGCGUGGCCGUGGCCUCGGGAAACGCUGGAGAGGCGCCCGAACGAGUGCUCGUCGUCGGCCACUUCCUCCUAUAGUAGGGCCAGCGAGCAUGUCGUGUCCAGGUCCGGCGGGCGUUGCACGAGCACCACCGCACGGAUAUCCGGGCGUAGUCCCUCCACAAAACGAGUCAGAAAAAAAUACGGGUGAGUGGACUCAGAGUAAGAUAUAAGGUGAUUCAUCAAAGUCUCGAAACGCUCGAUGAAAUCUGCUACUGUGGUAGUUUGUUUGACAGCAUAGAAUUGGCGGAUGAGCAUUUGGUGUUUGUCACGGCCAAAUCGGGUGCAGAGGAGGGAAGUGAAGGACUCCCAAUCCAGUCCAGUUAAUUUCUUCUGGACGGAUUGCAGCCUGAUGCCCGCGGGGCCAGAGAAAUUCAAGAUGGCCAUGGGAACACGGUAGGCGUCGUGGAUCGUGAACAUCUGGAAAUAUUGCUCGCAGAGCGUUUUCUAGAGCUGCGGGUUUUCACCGGUGAACAUCGGAAAAUUCAUGGAUGGUGGUUGACCAAAUUGGUCAGGAUAGAUGAGGACAGGGGAGGGACAGGGGCCGGAAUGAUCGGAAGGGAAGGCGUACCCGUGACCGGAGGUGCCGCUAGUGACUCGUGGGUCACGGACGGCCCCCCUCCGGUGUGAUCGACGUCACCGCGGUCGUCGGGCCCGUGGAGAUCUCCCCAUAAUGGAAGCAGGGAAGGAAGAUGUUGGGGAAUCGCCGCUGCACUCAGCGGUGCGGUCGCUCGCAGCGCCGCGACCGUGGACUCCAGCUUCGCGAAGCGCGCCUCGAGAUCUGGCUUCCAGUGAAGAAGAUCGUCGAUCUGCGAGGACUGCGUCUGCAGCUGCUUGAGGACGUGGGCGGAGUCGGCCUUGGCAUCCUGAUGGAGCUUGUCGAGGUACUCCUUGAGCGCUGGAUCCAUGGCGGCAACAAAGGCUUGCCGCGCUUGGAUUCUUCGGAGAGAGAGUGGUUCUGGUCUCUGAUACCAGGAUGUUAGGUACCGGAUCGAUCUAAGCUCACAAUAUAUUUCACGAAUUCGAAUUACAAUCCAGCCUUGAUGUUCAUGGGGAAGAAGAAGGAAGGUAGGUGGGGAAGGGAGAGAAGCCGUCGUCCGCCCUGAUCCUUCUGGAUGACUGUCUCUCUGUCGUCUGUGGCCUUAAGUAGCGAGCCGCUAGGCGAGCGGGCUCAGCGGGCCCAUUCUGGCCCAACAAAUCUUCGGUUGGGCUGCACGAUCCUCUUGGGCCUGCUGUCGACGCGCCUUGGGGUGAAGCCGGUGAUCGCCUUGGUGGUACGUGUGCUGACAGGGAAGCUGCGCCAUCGCAGCUGCAAAGCGUACCAUCGGUGUUGUGGGGGUUUGCGGCGGCGUGCUGCGAACGACACAAGAGGCGAUGGUGUUGUGAAAGCCGGUGCUACGAGAGAACGAACGUUGUCGUGCUACGAGUGAGGGUUAGCAAGGGGGAUGCAUGUGCUGCGGACGGUGGAUCCCAUGCCGAUGGUGCUUGCGAGGGAGCACAUCUCUUCUGAGCGUGCGGAAGGAGAAUGAGCAGAAAAACAAAAGAUAAUGUGGUGGCAAAGAGGGAGGAUCGCAUGGCCACAAGCGCGUGCAUUUGACAGCCCACAAGGACGUUUCUGUAGUUCAAACUUAAAUUGUAAAAACGUCUUAUAUUUAGUUACGGAGGUAGAAAUUCACAUAGUUUUUUUUUGAGAACGAAAUUCGCAUAGUUUGGUUCAUAUAAAUAAUAAAACGAAAGGAGAUCCAAAUGAACGUACAACAUGCCAAUUCAGCAAGGUACUGAGCAGCGAGAGCUUGAUUAUGUGUAGAUGGCUUGUUUCAAAAGAAAAAAAAAGAUUAUGUGUAGAUGAUGCCGGUAUGUAGCUGGGGAUGCUGAGCAGCGAGUAGAUGCAGAGCUCCAUAUGUUCAACUCAAAAAUAGGAAGGUAAGUGAUGUCGAUAUUAGUAUGUCGUCAAUAUUGAUUUUUUUUACUUAACACAUAACGUAAUUGUGAGCUCAAGUAGAUUUUAGUACUGAAUAUGUCCCCGUAACAGACAUGAGUUGGUGAAAACUAAAUAUUUAACAAUAAACAAAGUGAAAUUGAAUCAGUUUACCUGGCACCUAGUGUGAGUUUGCAUGUAAGUUCUGAACAUGCAAGAACGGUGUUCUAUACGGAGUACUUUCCAAGAUUUCAUAAUCAAGCUUGAUUCCACCUAACUAUUUAAAACGUCAAUUUCAGCAAGGUACUUUCAGUGAUAGGUAAACAAUGGCAUGCAUGUGCAAACAAAUUUAUAAGGCGAUGAAAAGUAAAAUAAAAUAUAGGCUAGGCUACCCUAACUUGUUUGUGAAUAAAGGCUUUGUUGUUGUUGUUGUUGAUGAAAAAUAAAAUAGCGAUGUGAACAGACGGAAAACACCUUCCCCACCCUCCUGCGCCGCUCCCGCGAGGCGACGGGGAGGAACCCUACUGUGCUGCCGCCAACUACCUUUUUCCCGCCCCCUCCUCCUCCCUCGUCGCGCCAGAGGGCGCGGCCGGGCCAAGCCUGGCCGGCGGCGGCGGCAGCGAGGCCUCCUCGCCCCCUCCCAGCGGCCUUGGCGCGGGCUAAUGCGGCUGGAUCGGGAUGCCUCGCUGUCCCAGGGCGAGGCGGCGCUACGGCGCAGCUGCGUGGUGAUGGCGCUGCGCGUGGCGGUAGCGAGACGGGCUGGGCGUUGGAGGGCGUGCUGGUGCAUGGAGCGGCGGGGGUGGCGAGCGGCUGGUGCGGGCGUUCAUGGCGGCAGGGGGAUCUGGUGUGGUGGCGGUCGUGAUGAGGCAGGGCGUCGGUGGCGAGGUUCGGUGUGGCCUGGGCCGGCUCCUGGCUUGGCGCAGUGGUGGUGCGGGUCCCGGGCGACAAGGAUCUGCGGCGGCCGCCCCUGCCCGGGCUCGGGCUGGUGGGGAUGGCGGCACAGUGGUGGUGGCUGGCUGGGCAUGUUGGUCGAGUCCACGUCGGAACCUUCCUGGUCUGGCGUUCGGACGUCGGCGGACGGCGCGAGGAGGCAUCUCCGGUGAGCUUCCUUGGCUGCAACAGCGGGUCAAUUUGGUCUCCAUCCUCGGCGGGCGCGCGGUUGCCGAUGGCCUCGCGGAGAUAUGUGUCAGCUAUCAUGGUGGGGCGACAUGGGGGUGCCCGCAGGGGAGCUUGGUAGGAGGGAUAGGUGGCCUCGAUGCGGUCGCGCCACCUGUUGGCGGCACCGUUUGCUGGUCCGGAUGCGUCCGCUCCUCCUUCUCCCCCUUUCCUCGUGUUUGGCGGGGAGCUUGGUUGGAGGGAUGGGUGGCCUCGAUGCGGUCGCGCCACUGAAGUACAAGGACUAAACUGGUCGAUCCACCGCAGGGUGCGAGAUGUUGAGCUUCCUCGACGCCUACUUUGGGUAUCCGCAAGUCUAUAUGGCCGAGGAAGACACGAGAAGGAGUUAAACAUCCUGUGCAGCAAUGAAUAAAACAUCUAGAGAGGGCAAACAAUUUUAAAAUCACUAUCGCAGCAUUUGAAUCACAACAAUUUAUCCAUUUUAUAUUUAGUUAAUAAACCUUGGUCUAAACUUGUGAUUUUUCAUCAAUCAUGUGUAUGACUUCGUAUAAUCCACAACUUUGUGUGAUGGCCACACCUUGAGUACACUUUAAUCAUGUCUGCUCCGAAAUGAUGUAAUUUCAGUACUUAGACGUUUCAGUGUCAGCAAUAAUGGUGUUGUCGUGUAGGAUGCUUAUCUAAGAGCAACUCUAGCAGACCUCGCAUCCACCCCCGACCCGCAAAAUAACCACCAAAAUGCGGGUACGGGCCGGAAAGUCUGCCCGACCAGACCCCGCAUCCCGCCCCGGCCCGCAAAAAUUUUUAGGGGGCGCGGCACAUUUUCGGCCCCAACCCGAGAAAACCAGGUUUCCCCCUCGCGGCUGCUGUGCCCUGUAUCACAGAGAAGCAGUUGGCAGGAGGGACAUUUCAGCCCGCGCUCUUUUUCUCCUUCCUUCCGCCGCCGCCCGCCCGCCGCCGGCGAUUCCGGCCAUAUCUGCGGGCGGAAUCGCUCCGCGGGGCCGCCCCACACCCUCCCGCACCGAGCCGCUGCACCGCCCCUCCGGAUCCGACGAGAAGAGCCGCCCCCAGUCGCCGCCGCCGCUGGGAUCGACCACCGCCGAGCGCACCACCCUCGUCGCCGCCCUCGGAUCACUCGCCACAGGUUAGUCCCUUUUUUGUGAUUUUCGCAAGCUGUGUAGUAGAUUGACGUGCCGACGUGCGUGCGUGUAGAUGGAGUUGACCCCGUGCAAGAAGUUCUUGCUAUCCGAUUCGUCCGAUUCGGACGACUCGGAUGUGGAGACCAUGCUUGCGACCUUUCGGCAGCAAACAUUGGUCAUGGCGCUUGCCGUGAAGGAGCAUGAAGACGAGUACCGAAAGAGGAGGCGAGGAUCUACUGUCGGGCGUCUGUGCAUUCCGCGGAAUCGCCAUAUUGGAAACGAGAUGUUGAUGCAAGAUUAUUUUUCUGAGAAUCCUACAUAUCCUGCACACCUCUUCCGCAGAAGGUACCGAAUGCGCCGAUCCCUUUUUGUGAAAAUUGUUGAAGCUUGCGAGGCAAAUUGCCGGUAUUUCACUCAGAGAAGAAAUGUCGCGGGCUUAAAGGGAUUUAGUGCAUGUCAAAAAAUCUCCGCAGCUAUGCGGGUGAUAGCAUAUGGCGUUCCGGCUGACUAUACCAAUGAGUUUCUUCGCAUUGGUGAAGAUAGCACAAUUGAGUCUGUGCGUAGAUUUGCGAAAGUGAUUGUCCGUGUCUUUGCUCCCGAUUAUCUUUGGGCACCAAAUGAAGAUGACACAAAGAAAUUGAUGGUAGCUAAUGAGAGGAGAGCUUGGCCUGGGAUGCUAGAUAGCAUUGAUUGUACGCAUAGGAAUUGGAAAAAUUGCCCCAAGGCUUGGCAAGGAAUGUAUUGUAGCAAGUCUCGUGAUGCAACAUUGUGCUAGAGGCCGUAGCAUCCGAGGAUUUAUGGAUUCGGCAUUGCUUUUUUGGUAUGCCCGGCACACUGAAUGAUAUCAAUGCAUUGCAACGCUCUCAUUUGUUUGCUAGGCUUGCUAGUGGUGAUGCUCCUGCUUGUAACUACACUAUCAAUGGGCAUGAAUACACAAAGGGGUACUAUCUUGCAGAUGGUAUAUAUCCUCCUUGGUGCACAUUUGUCAAGAGCAUCAAAAAACCCAAAACAAAAAAAUAUGAAUUUGCAAGGGUGCAAGAGGCAGCCCGAAAAGACAUUGAAAGAGCAUUCGGUGUUUUGCAAUCUAGGUUUGCCAUUGUCCGAGGUCCUCCUCGUUUUUGGGAUAAGAAAACCCUGAAGAACAUCAUGACUUGCUGCAUUAUCCUGCAUAAUAUGAUUCUUGAAGAUGAGAGAGGAAUGGACUUAGAAUUAUUUUACGAUAAUGUGGGUAGCCGUGUCAAACCGGAUAGAGACCCAAACCGCAUUAUAGCUUUUCUUCAGAUAUACAGGGAGAUUGAAAAUGCGGACACACAUUUUCAACUUCAGAAAGAUCUCAUUGAGCACCAUUGGCAAAGGGCUGGGCAGUGACUAAUUUUUUUAUUUAUUUGUAUUUGUAUUCAUGACAAGUUUUGUAUUGCAUUAUUUUAAGUUUGCUACGGUGAUUUGAAUACUUAUUUGUAAUGCGGAUGAUUAUUGUUUUAUGUUUGAUUUGAAUAAUUCAGUUUGUUUUCGAUUGUUGAAUUAUAUUGGAUUUGAGAUUUGCGGGCUGAUGAUUUGCGGGGAUGCAGCGGCGCAAAGAGCAAAACCCGCAUAGCCCACUCGUAAAAAAGCAUAUUCCGUGAAUAUACUUUUUUACGGGUCUGUUUGGGGGGUCUGCAUCUGUGCUAGCCCUCGCCGGUCCGUAAAAGCGGUUUUGCACGAACUGCAAACACGUUUUGCGGGGUCUGCUAGACUUGCUCUAAGCAACAUAGGCUGUCAUUCCAAUGCAUUGCCAAUUUGGCACAAAAUUGAGAACUUGCUCAACUUAGCUGAAAUCACCUGUGCAGGAAGUUGAACGAGUUUUGAUUUGGUGCACAUCUAUGUUAGAUGUGUAUAGCCCUUUUCGGUUUAUCCCCAUUGCAUAAGGGGUCUCUUGAAUUUUACCAUACACAUGUAUAUGCAUUGGCCUUUGGCCCUCUUUUGAAUGUAGUUGCUCAUUCCUAACAUGGUAUCAGAUGCUUAGGUUCCUCUCCCGCUCCCGCACGCUCGCAGCUCCGUGCCUCGCUCCCCUGCCGCCGGUCUCCCUAUCCCUCGUCUCCGGCCACUCGCGCUCAACUCCGGGCGCUCCCCCAGCCACCUGUACGUCGCGGCUGCUCCUGCCCCGCCUGGCGCAUCUCCUCCCGUGCUCCUGCUGCGCCCCUCCCCGCUCGAGCGGCCUCCUACCGCGCCGCUCCCCGCUUGCGCGGGCUCCUUCCCGCUCGAGCGGGCUCUACCGCGCCGCUGCUCUUCUGGAUUGGGUGCUCCGCCGCCAGAUCCCGCUGAGCUCGGGCGGGCCGGGCCUCCUCUUCUCGCGCCGGGCCGCGUCCUUCUCUGGCCAGCCGCCGCUUCGCGCUAGCUGUGGUCGAUCCAGCCCCGCAUCGAGAGCUCUGCUCGAUCUGCUGCUCGAGCCGCUGGCUCUGCCCGCCUCGUGUGCCCGUGCGCGAGCGAGCGCCUCGGCUCGGUCCGGCCGGCCCGUUGACUCCCGGAGACGAGCGGUCUGCUCUUAGUUCGGCCUUUUUGCUCCGGACUCAGUUCGGGCCUCUCGCUCCGGACUUAGUUCAGGCUUCUCAAUCUGCACUCAGUUCGGAUCCAAAAAAAGAGAGCAGAAAUAGGAUAUCUGAGUAUGUCAUCUUCAGGCUAUGUGGCUGUUCCUCGCUGCUCAGUGGUUUUUGAUGGCACCAACUAUGCUGAGUUUGUGGGCUUCAUGCGUAUCCAUAUGCGCGGCCAUCUAUUGUGGGGCGUUCUCUCUGGCGAGGUACCCUGUCCGCCCUGCCCUGUUGCUCCGGUUGCUCCUGUUCCCCCAGUGCCCCCGGUGCUUGCUGCUGAGGCUUCUUAGGCUGACAGGGAUGCAGCCAAGGCUCUUGAUGACGCUGCAGUUGAUGCCUAUGAUCAGCAGGUAUCCGCAUAUUCCGAUGCUCUUUCUGUCUACCGGGAUGAUCUGUCUGCUUACACUUAGUGGUGUAAUGAUGAUGCUCAUGCUGCUGCUGUUCUCACUACGAGUGUCCUCCCUCAGUUUGCCUCGGAGUUCAUGGGCCUCGGCACUGUUGCACCGAUGUGGUCCUACCUUUGUUAGCGCUAUCAGCCCUUUGGUGAUGCUCUAUACCUCUCUGUAGUGCGUCAGGAGCACGCUCUUCAGCAGGGUGACUCGUCUGUUGAUGAAUUCUACUCACAGUGCUCUGCCAUCUGGCGUCAGCUUGACUCACUGCGGACAGUUGUUUGUGGCACUUGUCGUUGUUGCCAGACUAUGAGGUCUGACUUGGAGUUUCAGAGGGUCCAUGAGUUCUUAGCUCAUCUCCGCUCUAAGUUUGAGCCUCGCCGUGCUCACUUGCUUGCUCGCGGUCGUGUUCCUAUCUCAGAGAUACUUGCUGAGCUUCGUGCCGAGGAGACCCGCCUUCGCUCUGUUGGGUUGCUUCUAGUUCCGUCAGUUCUGGCUGCCCGGGCUCCUGUGUCGUCUGCUCGCCUCACUGCUCCGACGCUCCUACCUACUCCUCCAGGGGGGUGAGCCGUGCUCCUUAUGCUGAGAAGGGCACGUCGCGCCAUGACAUCGUCUGUGGUUACUGCUCCCGGCCAGGUCACCCAGAGUCUGAUUGUCGCCAGAAGAAGCGAGACCAGAGGCGCUCCUCCUCCGGCGGGCCUCCUGUGUCUUUCUUGACUCCGUCACUCACCGACCAGGACAUUGUUCGCCUCAAGCGUCUUCUUGCUUCCUCAGGCUCCUCGUCGACUGGCUCUGCUGCUGCUGUGACUGCAUCCUCUUCCUCACCAUCACAGGCAUCUACACAGUCAGAUACAUCUUCGUGGGUUCUGGAUUCUGGAGCUUCCUUUCAUAUGUCUUUUGAUUCUUCCGCGUUAUCUUCUCUCCGACCUCUUGAUUCGCCUGUUAAUGUUCUUACUGUUGAUGGCACAUCUCUUCCUGUUGCUAGUCGUGGUAUUCUUUCCACUCCAUCUUUUUCUGUUCCGAGUGUUUCACAUGUUCCUCGCCUUACCAUGAAUCUUUUUUCCGCUGCCCAACUUACUGAUUCUGGUUGUCGUGUCAUUCUUGAUACCGACUCUUGCUCCAUUCAGGAUCGUCGCACCAAGCUUUGGUUGGUGCUGGCCCCCGGCGCCAUGAGUCAGAUGGCCUUUGGGAGGUUGACUGGCUUUGUGUUCCUUCCGCUGCCACCACUUCUGCCAGCUCUCAUGCUCUUGCCGCCUCUUCGUCUGCGUCCUUCCAGCAGUGGCAUCAUCGACUUGGUCACAUCUGUGGCUCUCGCUUGUCUUCCUUAGUUCGUCAGGGCCUCUUAGGGUCUGUAUCUGGAGAUGUCUCCUUACAUUGUAAUGGUUGCAGACUUGGCAAACAGACUCAGUUACCUUAUCCUACUAGUGAGUCUGUAUCUCAGCGUCCUUUUGACUUAGUUCAUUCUGAUGUCCGGGGUCCUGCUCCCUUUGAUUCGAAAGGUGGUCAUCGCUACUAUGUUUUGUUUAUUGAUGAUUUCUCUCGCUACACUUGGUUCUACUUCAUGAAAUCUCGUAGCGAGGUUCUCCCUAUAUACAAACGUUUUGCUGCCAUGGUUCACACCCAGUUUUCCACGCCCAUUCGUACUUUUCGUGCUGACUCCGCUGGAGAGUAUAUCUCUCAGCUGUUGCGUGGUUUUCUCGCGGAACAGGGUACUCUUGCCUAGUUCUCCUGUCCUGGUGCUCAUGCUCAGAAUGGCGUUGCCGAGCGAAAGCAUCAUCAUUUACUUGAGACGGCCCGUGCGCUGAUGAUUGCUGCUUCCCUUCCACCCCAUUUUUGGGCUGAGGCUGUUUCUGCAUCCACCUAUCUCAUCAACAUUCAGCCAUCGACUGCUCUGCAGGGUGGCAUUCCUAUGGAGUGUCUCACUGGUCGCUCUCCUAACUACUCAGCUCUUCGUAUGUUUGGAUGCAUCUGCUAUGUUCUUCUUGCCCCCCGAGAACGCAGCAAACUGACUGCUCAGUCGGUUGAGUGUGUUUUCCUUGGCUACAGUGAUGAGCACAAGGGCUAUCGUUGUUGGGAUCCAGUGGGUUGUCGCUUGUGCAUCUUGCGUGAUGUGACUUUUGACGAGUCUCGUUCUUACUACCCAUGUUCUUCUUCCUCGAGUUUCUCUGUGGACGACCUUUCUAUCCUUCCCCUUCCCGAUACACCCUGCUAUGUGCCUCAUGUGUCACCUCUUCCUCCGGCACCUCUCCUUCCUUCUCAUUCACCACUGACCCCGUCUUCUCCAUCCUCCUCCUCCACCUCUCCCCCAUCCUCUCCAGUCCGUCGCCCUCUCUCACCGUUUCCUCUUCACUAUACUCAUCGAUCUUGUACUGAGGAUGUCUCCUCUGACGAGCCUUCCACCUCUGGUGCACCUCCUCUCACGCCUCCCCCGGUUCACAAUCUUCGUGCUCGGCCUCGCCCCCCGCCUGAUCGCUACUCCCCUUAUCAGUACGGUCUCUCUAUUAUGACUGAGCCCACUUCCUAUCGCACUGCCAUGACUCAGCCUGAAUGGCAGCUUGCGAUGGCCGAAGAGCUUGUUGCCCUUGAGCGCUCUGACACAUGGGAUCUGGUUCCCCUCCCUUCCGGUGUCCGUCCCAUCACCUACAAGUGGGUCUACAAACUUAAGACUCGCUCUGAUGGUUCUCUUGAGUGCUACAAAGCUCGUCUUGUGGCCCGUUGUUUUCAGCAGGAGCAGGGGCGCGAUUAUGAUGAGACAUUCGCUCCUGUGGCCCACAUGACCACUGUCCGCACUCUUCUUGCUGUGGCUUCGGUUCGUCAGUGGUCCAUCUCUCAAUGGCGAGUUGCGUGAGGAGGUUUAUAUGCAGUCACCACCAGGGUACUAUGCUCCUGAUGGUAUGGUCUGUAGACUUCGCCGCUCCCUAUAUGGUCUCAAGCAGGCCCCUCGUGCCUGGUUUUAGCGCUUCGCCUCUGUGGUGACCGCCGCUGGUUUCUUGCCCAGUGACCAUGAUCCCACGUUGUUUGUUCACACGUCUCCUCGUGGUCGGACUCUUCUCCUUCUCUAUGUUGAUGACAUGAUCAUCACUGGUGAUGACUCUAAUUACAUUGCCUUUGUUAAGGCUCGUCUCCGUGACCAGUUUCUCAUGACUGAUCUUGGUCCACUUCGCUAUUUUCUUGGGAUUGAGAUCUCCUCGACCUCUGAUGGCUUUUACAUCUCCCAAGAAAAAUAUAUUCAGGACCUUCUUGCUCGCGCUGCUCUCGGUGAUGAGCGCAUAGUUGUGACUCCCAUGGAGCUCAACGUUCAGCUUCGUGCCUCUGAUGGUGACCCUCUCCCUAAUCCCACUCGCUAUCAUCACCUUGUUGGCAGUCUUGUCUAUCUUGCUGUUACGCGUCCUGACAUCUCCUAUCCCGUCCACAUUCUGAGUCAGAUCGUUUCAGCCCCCACCUCUGUCCACUAUAGUCAUCUCCUCUGUGUUCUAUGAUAUCUUCGUGGCACGAUCUCUCAGUGCCUUUUCUUUCCCCACUCCAGCUCUCUUGAGCUCCAGGCCUACUCAGAUGCUACCUGGGCUAGUGAUCCCUCUGAUCGACGCUCGAUGUCUGCUUAUUGUGUCUUUCUUGAUGGCUCUCUUAUUGCCUGGAAGACCAAGAAACAGACUGCAGUUUCUCGCUCGAGUACAGAGGCUGAGUUGCGAGCCAUGACUAUGCUGACGGCUGAGGUGAUCUGGUUACGGUGGCUACUUGAGGAUUUUGAUGUGUCUGCUACUACCUCGACUCCCUUAUUGUCAGACAGUACUGGCACUAUCAGUAUUGCGCGUGGCCUGGUGAAGCAUGAGCUCACCAAGCACAUCGGUGUGGAUGCCCACUUUGUGCGUGCUGCUGUGCAGGAUCAGACUCUCGCUCUUCACUAUGUGCCCUCUGAGUUACAGUUGGCGGACUUCUUCACAAAGGCUCAGACUCGCACGCAGCAUAGUUUUUUUCUCUCCAAACUCAGUGUUGUUGAUNNNNNNNNNNNNNNNNNNNNNNNNNNNNNNNNNNNNNNNNNNNNNNNNNNNNNNNNNNNNNNNNNNNNNNNNNNNNNNNNNNNNNNNNNNNNNNNNNNNNNNNNNNNNNNNNNNNNNNNNNNNNNNNNNNNNNNNNNNNNNNNNNNNNNNNNNNNNNNNNNNNNNNNNNNNNNNNNNNNNNNNNNNNNNNNNNNNNNNNNNNNNNNNNNNNNNNNNNNNNNNNNNNNNNNNNNNNNNNNNNNNNNNNNNNNNNNNNNNNNNNNGAUGUGUAUAGCCUUUUUCGGUUUAUCCCCAUUGUAUAAGGGUCUCUUGCACUUUACCAUACACAUGUAUAUGUAUUGGCUUUUGGCCCUCUUGUGAAUGUAGUUGCUCAUUCCAAACAAUCUAGUAUGAUUUUAUCGAGAGUCUUUUGAAACGCCCAAACUCCCUAAACUCAUGCACAUUUGUACCGCCCUUAUUUGAUAUAUAUCCAGAAGGCACCAGAGUUUUCAAACAAUAGAAUCCCACAGCCUUGCUAUCUUCAGUGUACCAUGUGUUUAUACUCCGUUUUCAAUGAUGCUGAUGUUGGAAAGAUCAGACAUACUUGCGAGCAAGCUGUGAUCUCCAUAACACUGAUAUUUACAACUGAAGAUAUCAAAUAUUUACAAUAUCCCCACCAAAAAAUUUGUCAAGCUGAGGACGGUGGCGCGCCAGGCUGUGUUUGCCUCGUCUCACCCAUCUACAUGCCUUGCCUUGUAGCGCCAGACAUGUUUUCUUCCAAAACAUCGUGACUGUUCUUAAAUUUUUGUUGAAAAUAGAACCGGUGCUUAAUUUUCCAAGGCAUCGAGGAGAAUGCAUACCAAUGCACCAACACCAAAGAGCAAUUUCAGUCCCAUCAAUUUAAGUUUCACAACAAAACUUGGUCCCAUCAAUUUCAGUUUCACGACAAAACCGUUGCAACAUUCAAACAACUCACCACACGGUACAUCGGAAUGGAUACAUCACGCGACAAACUACUAACUUAUUCCAACACCUUAGAGCUAUUUGUUCCCCAUAACCCAGAGAACAAUGCCGCCACCGGUUAAGCCGAUUCCGACUUGGUGUACAUCCUAAUGGCAACAGCCAGACCAAGUAUGGCCAGGG
RNAcentral lists this long non-coding RNA (24280 nucleotides) under Triticum aestivum (bread wheat). RNAcentral describes it as "long non-coding RNA (TAES_LNC007107)". Lineage: Eukaryota; Viridiplantae; Streptophyta; Magnoliopsida; Poales; Poaceae. The record is from RNAcentral.